Molecule: ribosomal RNA, 460 nt
Filed under: uncultured bacterium
Lineage: Bacteria
Description: partial 16S ribosomal RNA
Rfam family: Bacterial small subunit ribosomal RNA
Source: RNAcentral
CCUACGGGAGACAGCAGUGAGGAAUAUUGGUCAAUGGACGAGAGUCUGAACCAGCCAAGUAGCGUGAAGGAUGACUGCCCUAUGGGUUGUAAACUUCUUUUAUAUGGGAAUAAAAUGUUCCACGUGUGGGAUUUUGUAUGUACCAUAUGAAUAAGGAUCGGCUAACUCCGUGCCAGCAGCCGCGGUAAUACGGAGGAUCCGAGCGUUAUCUGGAUUUAUUGGGUUUAAAGGGAGCGUAGGUGGAUUGUUAAGUCAGUUGUGAAAGUUUGCGGCUCAACCGUAAAAUUGCAGUUGAAACUGGCAGUCUUGAGUACAGUAGAGGUGGGCGGAAUUCGUGGUGUAGCGGUGAAAUGCUUAGAUAUCACGAAGAACUCCGAUUGCGAAGGCAGUUCACUGGACUGCAACUGACACUGAGGCUCGAAAGUGUGGGUAUCAAACAGGAUUAGAUACCCCAGUAGUC